CGAACGGGUGAGUAACGCGUUAGCAACCUGCCUAUGACAGUGGGAUAGCCUCGGGAAACCGGGAUUAAUACCGCAUAAAAUCGUAGAAACACAUGUUUUAACGGUCAAAGAUUUAUCGGUCAUAGAUGGGCUCGCGUAUGAUUAGCUAGUUGGUGAGAUAACAGCCCACCAAGGCGACGAUCAGUAGCCGGUCUGAGAGGAUGAACGGCCACAUUGGAACUGAGACACGGUCCAA
RNAcentral lists this ribosomal RNA (235 nucleotides) under uncultured Eubacteriales bacterium. Its description in RNAcentral is "uncultured Clostridiales bacterium partial 16S ribosomal RNA". It matches the Rfam family "Bacterial small subunit ribosomal RNA", at positions 99 to 334 of the family's 1533-position model. Lineage: Bacteria; Bacillati; Bacillota; Clostridia; Eubacteriales. The record is from RNAcentral.